GACGAACGCUGGCGGCGUGCUUAACACAUGCAAGUCGAGCGGUAAGGCCCUUUCGGGGGUACACGAGCGGCGAACGGGUGAGUAACACGUGGGUGACCUGCCCUCAGCUCUGGGAUAAGCCUGGGAAACCGGGUCUAAUACUGGAUAUGACUCCAUGACGCAUGUUGUGGGGUGGAAAGCCUUGUGCGGCUGAGGAUGGGCCGCGGCCUAUCAGCUUGUUGGUGGGGUGAUGGCCUACCAAGGCGACGACGGGUAGCCGGCCUGAGAGGGCGACCGGCCACACUGGGACUGAGACACGGGCCCAGGACUCCUACGGGAGGCAGCGAGGUGGGGAGUCUUGCGCAAUGGGCGAAAGCCUGACGCAGCGACGCCGCGUGAGGGAU
RNAcentral lists this ribosomal RNA (383 nucleotides) under uncultured bacterium. Its description in RNAcentral is "bacterial SSU rRNA". It matches the Rfam family "Bacterial small subunit ribosomal RNA", at positions 28 to 409 of the family's 1533-position model. The record is from RNAcentral.